This 194-nucleotide long non-coding RNA is filed under the name Struthio camelus australis. Its description in RNAcentral is "lncRNA (ENSSCUG00000002698.1)". The record is from RNAcentral. Lineage: Eukaryota; Metazoa; Chordata; Aves; Struthioniformes; Struthionidae.
CAACCGGAUACUGAUAACUGCCAAAACAGUUUCCCCUCCCUCAACUUUCCUUCCUACCAAAAAAACAGGGCAAGUGCUUCUGUGACCAGCCUGCAGUGAGAGUUAAACAACUGAACACCUGGAAGAGGAAAGUAAGGAGGAAAAUCAAACCUCAGCAUUGCUCUCCUCCUAGGAACUUUGGCAGUUUUGCAGCU